Non-coding RNA from Ornithorhynchus anatinus (platypus), 808 nucleotides. The record is from the annotation of a RefSeq genome assembly. Lineage: Eukaryota; Metazoa; Chordata; Mammalia; Monotremata; Ornithorhynchidae.
UCAUAGGUUUAGAGCCAGUAGCUGUCACGAUAUCUAUAAGCUCCUCCUCUGUGGGCGAGAGGAGCGGGGACGAAAGUCAUGAGCCCAGGGAGAGUGAGAGCGACAGAGUCCGUGAACUGAAGUUUGAAGAGAAUCAGCACCGCGUUGGAAGGGCCGAACUGCAGCUGGGAUCGGGGGUCUCCCCAGGUCAUUCCCUCUGAGACCCCCAGCUGGUGGAGGUCCCCUCUGACACUGCCCCGUGACCUCCACCCCAGGCAUCCACGCCACAGGCCGUGUCCCACCUGAGAGGAUGUCACUGCUGCCUGCGCUUGCCGUGCUCGCCCUGUACACCGUUGGAUCCAGAGCGGUGAAAAUGGAGCAAAAAGAACAGUACGUCACCAAGCCACUCACAAAAACAGUCCGCAUUAAUUGUGAGGUGUCCGAAGUUGAUUUUUCUAGUGCUAUCAUACACUGGUACCAGCAGAAACCGGGGGAGGCUUUGAAGCGGCUGCUCUACGUAUCAUCAACAGGAGCAACUCAAUAUGACCCGAACACCGAUAAGAAAAGGUUUGGGGCAGAUAAGAGAACUGCAUCCUCCACCUCCAUCCUAACAAUUACCAACAUAGUGAGCGAGGAUACGGCCACCUACUACUGUGCCUGCUGGGAUACCCACAGCAACACUCACUCUCAGACAGCCCCCACAAAAUCCCUCCCCUCGCCCCUCUGCCCACAUCCGUCCUCGCCUGGAAUCCGCAACGACUUUCUACCUCGAUCUCUUCCUGGCCAAAGGAUCUUAAAAAAACAAGCAAAGGGCAGCAGUGUGGCCUAG